CAGCAGCCGCGGGAAUACGAAGGGGGCUAGCGUUGCUCGGAAUUACUGGGCGUAAAGGGAGCGUAGGCGGGUCGUUUAGUCAGAGGUGAAAUCCCGGGGCUCAACCUCGGAACUGCCUUUGAUACUGGCGACCUUGAGUAUGGGAGAGGUGAGUGGAACUCCGAGUGUAGAGGUGAAAUUCGUAGAUAUUCGGAAGAACACCAGUGGCGAAGGCGACUCACUGGCCCAUUACUGACGCUGAGGCUCGAAAGCGUGGGGAGCAAACAGGAUUAGAUACCCCAGUAGUCCCUGUCUCUUAUAC
Molecule: ribosomal RNA, 301 nt
Filed under: uncultured bacterium
Lineage: Bacteria
Description: partial 16S ribosomal RNA
Rfam family: Bacterial small subunit ribosomal RNA
Source: RNAcentral